Molecule: non-coding RNA, 371 nt
Organism: Actinobaculum sp. oral taxon 183
Lineage: Bacteria; Bacillati; Actinomycetota; Actinomycetes; Actinomycetales; Actinomycetaceae
Rfam family: transfer-messenger RNA
About the family: Bacterial tmRNA, also known as 10Sa RNA or SsrA, is named for its dual tRNA and mRNA-like properties. Its role is to liberate the mRNA from a stalled ribosome.
Source: Rfam
GGGGAUGAUCGGUUUCGACGGCGAAUGCGCGCCGAAGGGAAGCGGGUCGAGGAUGCAGAGUCAUCUCGUUAACGAUUCUCUGCGAACCAAUAGGUGCCAAGAACAAGAGCACCGAUUUCGCCCUCGCCGCCUGAGCGAGCUGCGGAAUCCGUCAGCCUAGGGGUGCUUUCCUCCUAGAACCUGGCGUCGCCUUUGAAAGCCACUGCCGAACGGGUAUGCAGCGGGCCCGCUCGGAACUCUUACGCCGCUAGGUCCGUCAGCGACUCGUUCGCGUGAGCGCUGGGGCCGAAAACAACGCACUGCGAACUGCACCCGGAGAAUACUUGGGCAAGCAUCGUCGGACGCGGGUUCGAUUCCCGCCAUCUCCACUG